This 103-nucleotide unclassified non-coding RNA is filed under the name Homo sapiens (human). RNAcentral describes it as "LRIG3 divergent transcript (ENSG00000262592.2)". Lineage: Eukaryota; Metazoa; Chordata; Mammalia; Primates; Hominidae. The record is from RNAcentral.
GGUGGGAGAAGGAAUGUUCUCUGGAGAAAUCUGUAUGAUAGAAUAGUGAAGGUAACUGGCCUGAACUACAGCUCUUGAGCCAUCUGGUUUCACCUUCAGGGAG